AGCAGCCGCGGUAAUUCCAGCUCCAAUAGCGUAUAUUAAAGUUGUUGCAGUUAAAAAGCUCGUAGUUGAAUUUCGGGAUCAAGUCGUCGGUCGUGCCUCGGUACGCACUGGUGACAUUGGUUUCUCCCUUCUGAAGAACCUUGAUGUCAUUAAUUUGGUGUCUUGGGGAAUCAGGACUGUUACUUUGAAAAAUUAGAGUGUUUAAAGCAGGCUCACGCUUGAAUACAUUAGCAUGGAAUAAUGAAAUAGGACGUUUGAUUCUAUUUUGUGGUUUCUAGGAUCGACGUAAUGAUUAAUAGGGAUAGUUGGGGGCAUUAGUAUUCAAUUGUCAGAGGUGAAAUUCUUGGAUUUAUUGAAGACUAACUACUGCGAAAGCAUUUGCCAAGGAUGUUUUCAUUAAUCAAGAGCGAAAGUUAGGGGAUCGAAGACGAUCAGAUACCGUCGUAGUCUUAACCAUAAACUAUGCCGACUAGGGAUCGGAUGAUGUUAAUUUUAUGUACUCAUUCGGCUACCG
RNAcentral lists this ribosomal RNA (514 nucleotides) under uncultured Glomeromycotina. RNAcentral describes it as "SSU rRNA". It matches the Rfam family "Eukaryotic small subunit ribosomal RNA", at positions 569 to 1089 of the family's 1831-position model. The record is from RNAcentral. Lineage: Eukaryota; Fungi; Glomeromycota.